RNAcentral lists this ribosomal RNA (675 nucleotides) under Triticum aestivum (bread wheat). RNAcentral's name for it is "partial small subunit ribosomal RNA". Lineage: Eukaryota; Viridiplantae; Streptophyta; Magnoliopsida; Poales; Poaceae. The record is from RNAcentral.
AUGGCGGAGGAACCGUCCGCCAAGCGUCAUCAUGCCGAGACGUCGAACAAGUGGAGCAACCUCGUCGACAUUAACGUCCCCGGCGAGAAGCGCGACUACACCAGAACGCUCAAAGGGGUUGAGCUCCACGGCAAGGAGACGCUGGAGAUCGUCUGCACCAGCGAACCAGACAAGGCCGACGAGAUGAUGAGCAGGCUCAGGAUGAAGGGCGGCGGCUUGUAUCCGAGCUUCAUCGGAGUUGAUGUGGAGCCCAAGCGCCUCAAAGACUUCCUGCGGGAGGAGAAAUUGUACACAUUUGUUGGUUUCAGCAUUGGAGGUGACAAGCGGAUGCUGCAGGAGUCCGGUUUGGAAAUCAACCCCAACAACUUCAUCGACAUGCAGCGCAAGUGGAAAGAUCCAAAGACCAGCAAAUACUACGACUCCCUGGCCGAUGUUGCAGGCGGCGUCAUCCACCCAUUCUACGAAGGCAUGAAGAAGAAGAUGAAUAGGGCAGACCACAAACUGUGGGGGAACAGCCCGCUGCCAGACAACCUCAUCACGUAUGCAGGAAUAGACGCGUACGCAACGUACAAGUCAUGGAAGACAAUCGACAACAUCGUGACAGGUUGGGAAAUUUCAAAAGAGCAGGAGGCUAACCCCUACUACCACUGCAACUUCACGGAUGAAGAUGCAUGA